RNAcentral lists this ribosomal RNA (254 nucleotides) under uncultured bacterium. RNAcentral describes it as "partial 16S ribosomal RNA". It matches the Rfam family "Bacterial small subunit ribosomal RNA", at positions 524 to 776 of the family's 1533-position model. The record is from RNAcentral.
UACGGAGGGUGCGAGCGUUGUCCGGAAUCACUGGGCGUAAAGGGCGCGUAGGCGGCGCGAGCAGUCGGCGGUGAAAGCCCGGAGCUCAACUCCGGGUCGGCCGUCGAUACUCUCGUGCUUGAGCACUGUAGAGGCAGGUGGGAAUUCCGGGUGUAGCGGUGGAAUGCGUAGAGAUCCGGAAGAACACCGGUGGCGAAGGCGGCCUGCUGGGCAGUAGCUGACGCUGAUGCGCGACAGCGUGGGGAGCAAACAGG